AUGGCUAUAUGGACACAUUGUUUGAUACUGUUAUGUUCCUGUUUUCUAGCUUCGAACACUACUCACUCAUUCCUCUUGACUCAGUCUCCAGGACUCACACUCGUCUCAGUCGGUGGUUCUGUAGAGUUAAGAUGUAUAUUUGAGCAGACCCUAAGGUACUGCUAUACCUCUGCUGCAUGGAAAAAGAUGAAUCUACGGACUGGAAAACUCACGACAGUGAAUAGUAGCUAUGAGAAUAAUGUCCUUCAGCCUGAUGAUAAAACCUGUGUUUUGACUCUCAAACACGUAACCAAGACAGAUUCAGGCUUGUAUUAUUGCAUGACCAGAUUUAAUGACAUGGCUGUCGUCGGCAAUGGGAGCAGGGUGAUCGUUAAAGAUCGAUCUGAACAAAAACUCUCCAUCUUAUACACACCACAUGAACCUGAUUCACCAUCAGUAUCACUGCAGUGUCUCGUGACUGGACUUGUCCCGUCUCAGGUGCGUGUGUUCUGGAUGAUUGGACAGAAUGUGUAUUCUGGAUGGACCGAGUCCGGCUGGACAGACAACACUGAUUCAGCCACAGAAUUCACUCGAGCUCAUCUCUCUGUUUCUGAAGAGGAGUGGAAAGAAGCCAGUAAAAUUCAGUGUUUUGCUGAAUAUGAUGGCAAGAACAUCUCCAAAACUCUGAACCGAAGCGGAGCUGAACCUGCAAUCAUCUCGUGGCUUGUGUACUCUGGCUGUGUGGCAGCGCUCCUGACCAUACUUCUAACUCUGAUUAUGUCUGUGGGAUUAUACAGAGGCUCAUGAGAAAAGAUGCCCACCGCAAAAUUUCAUAUGGUAAACAGAACACACUUCGAGAAGAGAGUCCAUCUGUUAUGGUAGGAGGCAGAAAUGAAGAUGAUGAACAUUGAAGUGAAUCACAAAAAAAAAAAAAAAAAACAGUUUCUGCUGUUUCAGAAGAAAUAUUAUUUAAAUAAUAAACAGAUUUUAAAUAUCUAUCAUACAAUAUGAACAUGGAUUGAUGUAGCAAUAUUUAAUUUAUUUACAAAAACUACAUGAUAAAUGCAAUCUACCAGUAUGUUUAAGCCAAAUAAUCUGUGCAUAUAUAAUAUGGGUAUGUUACAGUACUUUUAUUGGUGAUAUUGGUAAAGGUUUUAGCAUUUGAUCAGUACCUAAACAGAACUACCUAAAAAAGUUUUUUUUACAUUUAUUUAUUUACAAUUAUUUAAAAUGAUUUCCUAAAUCUUCUGAAGUUAUAUGAUAGUCCUGUGCGAGGAACAAAGUGAGACUGAAAAUCUUUGGGACUGUUCUCCUGUACAUUUUAAUUGAAUGCAGACAACCAUGUUCAAAUGUGUAGAAUAGAAAAUUAAAGAUUUUCAGUAAUGACGGCUUAAACUUUGGUCUGGUCCUCACAGUUUUUGUCUUGGACAUUUUGUAUCACUUUAAUUAAUUGUGUUAAAUUUUGUCCUCUUUGGAGCUUGACAGAGGAGGUCAUGAAUGUUGUGAAAUAAUAAUAAUAAUAAUAAUAAUAAUAAAAAUGUAGAUUCUUUAAAAGUGUUCCUUUUUAUUACAUGGCUCUCUGGAUCUCUUGAUUGUUGCAUUGAGCUGUCAAUAUUUGUCAUUAUUCAUAAUUCACUAUAUUUCUUAAUUGGCAAAUAAUAGAAAUAAUGGAGCAAACCAUUCCUUCAAGCAAACACACAACAGAUAAACAAAUCUUUAGAGUGUGAAAAAUUGCAAAUAUUUGAUCGGGGGAAAUAAUACUUUGCAAACUUUUAAUUAAACAAAUCUUUUGGUCAUUUCAUAUACUUCAGCUUGCAUUUUAUAAUGUAAAUAUUUUGUCCUGUGUUUCUCUGGGAUCUUAUCGGUCAUGGACAGGAUGUUGGUCCAUCAAGAGAAUAAAGGUAAUACAAAAGCAUAAUUUGUAAUGAUAUGAAUUACAUGAAACAGCAAAGUUCCCUUGCAAACUUAUAUAACUUGUAAAUACACUUGUUAGGAUCAUUUUUGCAUGGACUUGAGUUUUUCUUUCUUUGUUUUUCAGCGGGGAAGAGGAAAUGUUGGAGUAUGCUAAAACAUUUAAUUCCUGAAAUCAUAUAUAUUGUUAACUCAUAUAUCUUAAAAUAACACGAUUGCCUGUUCUGGUUUUAUUAUGUCCAUGUUAAUGAAUAUUUCUUAGGAACUGUUUCAUUUAUUUGUUUGUUUUUAUAAUUAUCUUCUUUUGUUGUUUUUUUUUUAUUGUCCUCUUGAAAAUUUGUUUAAUAAUGCUCCUCAUAAGCUACAUCAUAAAAGUAAAUGUUUCCUGAGCAGCAAAUCAGCUAGUACAAUUAUUUCUGAAAUCUCUGAAACAAUUUUAAUAUGAAAAUUUGGCAAUCGUUCAAAUACAUUUUAAUUUAAAAGUGAUAAUAAAGAAAAAACUUAAUUUUUAAAUUACAAUAAUAUUUAGUAUUAUUGUUUUUACAUCACAUAAAUUCACUAAAUGGUAGCAUUGUUAACUAUCAUGAGAUCUCUUUUCCUACAUUUCUGAUAUGUGCAGGACUGAACAGCAAAGCUACAGUUCAACUUUUCUUCCCUGGUGGCCCAUCAAAUUAAAAUUAAUCUUAAUGUUACUUUUCAUUUUACUUUUUUUUUUUUUUUUCCGAGAGGGUUAAAAACUCACAGUGAAUGAAACAGGAAAGUGUAUGGCCUCUUGCUGUAGUCUUCACACUCUCAUUUAACAGCUUGUGGUUAGACAGAAGCGGCAUAACAGGAUGUUAGAAGAGACAAAGGUCUCAUGAAACAGAGAUGCAAAACUACUUUCACUGUCCAUUGUUGCAGCGACUCCACUGGCAUUACUUAAGCCUUGAUAUAAAACUAUCUGAAUUUUGCCUAAUAUUGUCAUCUAAUGUUCUCCAUCCCUACAGUAUGUCAAUAUCCACACUGAGAGUUAUGAAAUACUCAGAUGAUCAAUUAAACUAGUCUGCACAUCUUUAUUAACAAAGCAUUCAAAAUAAAACAUUAUAUAGGCUAAUGAAAAAUAGGUUAGUGUUGACAUAUUGACACAUAACGUUGAAUUAGAGCAGAAUUGUGAACAGCUAUUACAUUGACUAGUUUUCCUCUUUUAUAUUAUGCAGAUUUACAGAUCUUAGAGUUUUCUGAAUUAAGAAAGUAACAUAAUUUUAGUAUUUCUAAUUGUAUGUUGUGUAUUAAAGGUGGAUUUUUUUAAAUUACUUAAAUUAAGAGUUUUGUGUGUCCUGUUUUGACAUGCAGUUAUAAUAUAUUUACUAUCUUGACCCUGGAAACAGAUGUUUCUGUCUGAGGUGCAGGUGGAGGAACAGUACUCUCAGUUUGAGAGUGAGGGUGUGGGUGUUGAGCAUUGGCCGUUCUUACACCAUGCUGCUCUUUUCAUCUCACACCCGUGUGGUUAGAUCUGAACAAGUGACUGCAAACAAAUUGUACAAAGAUUUUCAGAAAGCAGAGAGUUAAACGGCUAGAAGAACAGCUUCUUAACCUGUAGCGGAAAACACAAAGAAAUCCAUUAAAAUAAUAAUAAAUGUUUGUUCAAAUCCUUAAUACUGUGAGCAAUAUUUGCUAUUUUGCUGUUCUUGCCCUAUAGCAAACACCAUUAAUCAAUAAAUUGUAUUAAACUUAAUAAAUAGAUAAUUGUAUUCUCUAUGUAUGUUUUUUUUUUUCAUUUAUU
Long non-coding RNA from Carassius auratus (goldfish), 3652 nucleotides. Lineage: Eukaryota; Metazoa; Chordata; Actinopteri; Cypriniformes; Cyprinidae. The record is from Ensembl.